Non-coding RNA from Apis mellifera (honey bee), 91 nucleotides. NCBI's taxonomy places the organism in Eukaryota, Metazoa, Arthropoda, Insecta, Hymenoptera, Apidae. The record is from RefSeq and is marked provisional.
GCCAUUUCCGGCGAAUACAGAAUAAUUCCUCGAUCCGUUCGUUCAAUCGAGAUCUCUCGCGGAAAAUAAUUUCUAUUUAUCGAUCCUGGCU